GACUCUCGGCAACGGAUAUCUCGGCUCUCGCAUCGAUGAAGAACGUAGCGAAAUGCGAUACCUGGUGUGAAUUGCAGAAUCCCGCGAACCAUCUAGUCUUUGAACGCAAGUUGCGCCGAGGCCGUCCGCCGAGGGCACGCCUGCCUGGGCGUCA
This 154-nucleotide ribosomal RNA is filed under the name Ananas comosus (pineapple). RNAcentral's name for it is "5.8S ribosomal RNA". It matches the Rfam family "5.8S ribosomal RNA". From Rfam's summary of the family: 5.8S ribosomal RNA (5.8S rRNA) is a component of the large subunit of the eukaryotic ribosome. It is transcribed by RNA polymerase I as part of the 45S precursor that also contains 18S and 28S rRNA. Functionally, it is thought that 5.8S rRNA may be involved in ribosome translocation. Lineage: Eukaryota; Viridiplantae; Streptophyta; Magnoliopsida; Poales; Bromeliaceae. The record is from Rfam by way of RNAcentral.